UACGUAGGUGGCAAGCGUUGUCCGGAAUUAUUGGGCGUAAAGAGCGUGUAGGCGGCCAGAUAAGUCCGCUGUGAAAUCUCGAGGCUCAACUUCGAGCUGUCGGUGGAAACUGUCUGGCUAGAGUCCGGAAGAGGAGAAUGGAAUUCCCGGUGUAGCGGUGAAAUGCGCAGAUAUCGGGAGGAACACCGGUGGCGAAGGCGGGUCUCUGGGCCGAUACUGACGCUGAGGAGCGAAAGCGUGGGGAGCGAACAGG
Molecule: ribosomal RNA, 253 nt
Filed under: uncultured bacterium
Lineage: Bacteria
Description: partial 16S ribosomal RNA
Rfam family: Bacterial small subunit ribosomal RNA
Source: RNAcentral